This is a long non-coding RNA of Brassica napus (rape), 1275 nucleotides long. RefSeq lists it as uncharacterized. The transcript has 4 exons. The record is from RefSeq and is a predicted model, not a curated record. NCBI's taxonomy places the organism in Eukaryota, Viridiplantae, Streptophyta, Magnoliopsida, Brassicales, Brassicaceae.
UUCUAAGAGCAUCCACGUAUGCGUUUUUUUAAUGACUGUGGGCCCCGUCUAAUUUUCGGUUUCGAUUGGUCAAUUUGGUUUGGUCUGAUUUGUGUCUUCCUGUUUGGUUUGAUAAAAGUGAAACUCUGCGUUUUGGCUUCACCUAAUUAGGGCUUCAUCGUUAUCCUCAUUCCAGAACUCACCCCUCGCCUUCUCCGCUCAUCUCUUUAUCUCCUCUAUCGUUCAACGUAUUUCUUUUAAUUCGCCAAUAAUUGUUAUUCACAUUAAACCCAAUAACAAUGUGGACCUUUAUGUUUCCUUCACAUCGAUCUAUAAAUAGAAGAGGGUUUGGGAGCAGGAUGAAUCUUCAUCUCCACUCCGCAAGCUCCGUACCCAACCUCUAACCCUCUCUUUCCCAACUCUUCCGGCGUCCCGAUGCCGUCCGGAAUCCACUGCUCUGUUUCGGUAGGCGAGACCACAAUACGAUUCGUGGAAGAUGUCCCUGACAUAUCAUGAGGCUGCGAGAUAGAUUCAGUCAAGAACGCCACUUCUCUUCCGAGAUGGCUCUCCGGCGAGAGAGGACUCGGAUAAACAGAAUAAGCUGGAAAAAAAAGAAAAAAAAACUCACAUGUGAUUAUGGCUGUUGUGGAACGAGGGUCACAGUUUUCCGUUACCUCAUCGACUGGAAUCAAUUACCUUCGCAGUCGAUGAUUCUCACGGAGUAACCAUGAACAAGAAGCCGCUUAACAAUUGCGCGACCAAGGUAGGAAACGCCGUAGCAAAGUUACUUUCAGGAAUCUGACAUUGAGCAGCAGGCAAACAAGACAACAAUUAAAGGAUUUAGAGCCUCAAGCAUUUUAAUCGGACCAAGCUCAAUGAUUUUCAGACAAGUACAAAGAUAGAGACUUUGAGGGAAGAAAUAAGGCUCAUGGUCCAAAGAGAUGGGUCUGCAAGCAAUAGUUUUCAGCCAGUUCACAUCAUUCUUGGAUCUGAUAAACUACACCCUCGGGAAGUGUGGGGUUUGGUUGCACCCAACUGGUGGGAAGCAUGUCAAUGGCAACUAGAGAUGUUGCUAUCAAUAAAUUCAGGGAAGAUCAAAAUUGCAAAAUUUUCUUGAUGAGUUUGAAAGCUGGAGGGGUUGCUCUCAACUUAACAGCCCUUCUAUGUUUAUUCUGAUCGUUUCACGGUUGUUUCCUACGUGACGUUAUACGUAGAUUGUUUAUACGAUUGUUUUAAGUAACUAACGAGAACCUCAUAGUACUAAGAGAUUAAUUACAUAAAACACAAUUUCAAAUU